Molecule: ribosomal RNA, 1356 nt
Filed under: metagenome
Description: SSU rRNA
Rfam family: Eukaryotic small subunit ribosomal RNA
Source: RNAcentral
AAACGGCUACCAUCGCUAAGGCGAGCAGCAGGCGCGCAACUUAUCCACUGUCCACUCGGACGAGAUAGUGACGAGAAAUAACAAGCCCGUUCUCUUUGAGGUCGGGCAUUGGAAUGGACCGAAUGUAAACGAUUCGGUGAGUACCCACGAGAGGGCAAGUCUGGUGCCAGCAGCCGCGGUAAUUCCAGCUCUCGUAAUGUAUAGAAUUAUUGUUGCGGUUAAAAAGUUCGUAGUUGGAUUUCAUACCGCCAGUGGGUCGUGCCUAACGGUGCGUACUCGCGGCGGUGUUUAUGCCGGGGCGGGCUUGCCUGCCCCAGCAUGGAUUACUUUGAACGGCUUAAGUGCUCAAGGCGGGUCUUCGGACUGAAUACCGGUGCAUGGAAUAAUGGAACAAGGUUUCGGCCGAGUUUUAUUGGUUUUGUCGGCUGAGACAAUGGUUAACAGGAACAGCUGGGGGCACUCGUAUCCCGGCGCGAGAGGUGAAAUUCGUGGACCGUCGGGAGACGCCCUAAAGCGAAGGCAUUUGCCAAGAGUGUUUUCAUUAAUCAAGAACGAAAGUCAGAGGUUCGAAGGCGAUUAGAUACCGCCCUAGUUCUGACCGUAAACGAUACCAACUAUCAAUCCGCCAGUAGCUUUUGGUUAUUGGCGGGCGGAUCGACGGAAACGAAAGUUUUUCGGUUCCGGGGGAAGUAUGGUUGCAAAGCUGAAACUUAAAGGAAUUGACGGAAGGGCACCACCAGGAGUGGAGCUUGCGGCUUAAUUUGACCCAACACGGGAAACCUCACCCGGCCAGUACAUCAUAAGGAUUGACAGAUUGAAAGCUCUUUCAUGAUUUGAUGAAUGGUGGUGCAUGGCCGUUCUUAGUUCGUGGCGUGAGUCGUCUGCUUAAUUGCGAUAACGAGCGAGACUCCGACUGUUAAAUAGCACCCGUUUCUUUUCGAGCGGGCGGCUUCUUAACUGGAUUCGCGGCUUCAAGCCGCAAGAAAUGGAGCAAUAACAGGUCUGUGAUGCCCUUAGAUGUUCGGGGCCGCACGCGUGCUACAAUGAUGGUAACAGCGUGAUUGUCCUCGCCCGACAGGGCUUGGCAAACAGUUGAGAUAUUAUUAUGGCUGGAAUUGAGUGUUGAAAUUUUCUCUCAUGAACGAGGAAUUCCAAGUAAAUGCGAGUCAUCAACUUGCAUUGAUUACGUCCCUGCCCUUUGUACACACCGCCCGUCGCUACCCGGGACUGAGUUGUUUCGAGAAAUCUACGGACCGGCCGCUUCUCGCAAGAGACCCGGCUGGAAAGUGAAUUAAUCGCAACGGCUUGAACCGGGUAAAAGUCGUAACAAGGUAUCAGUAGGUGAACCUGCUGAUG